GGGCCCGUGGCGCAGCGGUUAGCGCUGACGACUCAUAAUCGUUAGGUCGCUGGUUCGAAUCCAGCCGGGCCCA
RNAcentral lists this transfer RNA (73 nucleotides) under Anaerolineae bacterium. RNAcentral's name for it is "tRNA-Ile". It matches the Rfam family "tRNA". Rfam says of the family: Transfer RNA (tRNA) molecules are approximately 80 nucleotides in length. Their secondary structure includes four short double-helical elements and three loops (D, anti-codon, and T loops). Further hydrogen bonds mediate the characteristic L-shaped molecular structure. tRNAs have two regions of fundamental functional importance: the anti-codon, which is responsible for specific mRNA codon recognition, and the 3' end, to which the tRNAs corresponding amino acid is attached (by aminoacyl-tRNA synthetases). tRNAs cope with the degeneracy of the genetic code in two manners: having more than one tRNA (with a specific anti-codon) for a particular amino acid; and 'wobble' base-pairing, i.e. permitting non-standard base-pairing at the 3rd anti-codon position. Lineage: Bacteria; Bacillati; Chloroflexota; Anaerolineae. The record is from RNAcentral.